Molecule: ribosomal RNA, 459 nt
Filed under: uncultured bacterium
Lineage: Bacteria
Description: partial 16S ribosomal RNA
Rfam family: Bacterial small subunit ribosomal RNA
Source: RNAcentral
CCUACGGGAGACUGCAGUGAGGAAUAUUGGUCAAUGGGCGGGAGCCUGAACCAGCCAAGCCGCGUGAGGGAAGAAGGUACAGCGUAUCGUAAACCUCUUUUGCCAGGGAACAAAGGCGGGGACUAGUCCCCGGAUGAGGGUACCUGAAGAAAAAGCAUCGGCUAACUCCGUGCCAGCAGCCGCGGUAAUACGGAGGAUGCGAGCGUUAUCCGGAUUUAUGGGGUUUAAAGGGUGCGCAGGCGGCCUGUUAAGUCAGCGGUAAAAGCCCGGGGCUCAACCCCGGCGAGCCGUUGAAACUGGCGGGCUGGAGUUGGAGAGAAGUACGCGGAAUGCGUGGUGUAGCGGUGAAAUGCUUAGAUAUCGCGCAGAACCCCGAUUGCGAAGGCAGCGUACCGGCUCCACACUGACGCUGAGGCACGAAAGCGUGGGUAUCGAACAGGAUUAGAUACCCCUGUAGUC